CAGUAGCCACGGGAAUACGAAGGGUGCAAGCGUUACUCGGAAUUACUGGGCGUAAAGCGUGCGUAAGUGGUGGUUUAAGUCCGUUGUGAAAGCCCUGGGCUCAACCUGGGAAUUGCAGUGGAUACUGGGUCACUAGAGUGUGGUAGAGGAUAGUGGAAUUUCCGGUGUAGCAGUGAAAUGCGUAGAGAUCGGAAGGAACAUCUGUGGCGAAGGCGACUAUCUGGGCCAACACUGACACUGAGGCACGAAAGCGUGGGGAGCAAACAGGAUUAGAUACCCCUGUAGUCCCUGUCUCUUAUAC
RNAcentral lists this ribosomal RNA (301 nucleotides) under uncultured bacterium. RNAcentral's name for it is "partial 16S ribosomal RNA". It matches the Rfam family "Bacterial small subunit ribosomal RNA", at positions 509 to 807 of the family's 1533-position model. The record is from RNAcentral.